AAAGUCGUAACAAGGUUUUCGUAGGUGAACCUGCGGAAGGAUCAUUAGUGAAUUGAAAUGGGUGCUCUUAAUUGAGGCUCGCUUUUCCUAAUUUCAACACCCUUUAUGUGAACUUGAACUUUAUACAUUGAUUGACUUCUCUUUAUUGAGCAAGGCUUUCGAUUAUAACUUUAACACCCUUAUGUUUUAUAAGAGAUGAGAAUGUAUAUAACCUUGAAAUUGAAAGAACAACUUUCAGCAACGGAUUUCUUGGCUCUC
RNAcentral lists this unclassified non-coding RNA (258 nucleotides) under Basidiomycota sp. Its description in RNAcentral is "partial contains small subunit ribosomal RNA, internal transcribed spacer 1, and 5.8S ribosomal RNA". The stretch from base 1 to 47 matches the Rfam family "Eukaryotic small subunit ribosomal RNA", at positions 1785 to 1831 of the family's 1831-position model. Lineage: Eukaryota; Fungi; Basidiomycota. The record is from RNAcentral.